CCUGCUAGUAAUCGACGACAUUAGGCAAGAGAAACAGCGGCUCCUCAAGUCCUGCCCAAAAACCGUCCAGAAACCCCAGCCUCCGGUCGCCUUCUCGCCGCCUCCGCUGGGAGCCGCAGAUCAGUCCAAGUUGACGGACAGGAGGCGAAAUGUGCAAAUGUUUACGGUUUCAUCUGUAUGGAAAAGGAACUCUGGUAACUUUGGCCAAGACUUUUCAGUAGGAAAUGCUUCAAAAUACAAAGCAAGAGCUAUUUUCAAGAAAGACCUUCUAAAUGUAUAUUAGGAUUAAGCGUCUGUAACGUUGCCACUCAUCGCUGAGGCUCCUGGUUUCAGCAUGUCUCCUUGGUUCCCAGCCAGCUCUGGGUGUUCAGGUAGCAGCUGUGUCUGGGAGUGUCUCUCCAGUCCACAUUCCUUGGCCAUGAAUUUUGCAGCCCUGUUUAUCUGAUGAAGACCUCCCAGUAGUGAAUUGCUCAUGACAUUGUCACACAGACCUUAAUGAAUGAUAUGGAAAGAUACUGAAUAUUUUUCCUCCCGGAAUGCCAACCAAUCUUCAGUGUCCCAGCGCCUUCACUCCAGCUGAUCAUGGCAAAGGCUUGGUACUGAGAUCCAGUGAGACCUUUGUCCUACAAAAACCACAUUCUCACUGGAUGCCUACAAGUCCUCUCUAUGGGACUGUUACCCAAGCCUGUUUACAGAAUUUUCAACAAUUACAUCUGCCCAUUUGCUGAGUCUCACUUCUCUGCACUAAUUGUUGACUUCAAUUUAUAUUUUUAAUGUACAAAUGCUAUCACCAACUUCAGUGCAUGAAGACCUCUCUUCCUUCUCUUCAAACCCAUGACUUUGCUUGGAAUAACAGGGAUGGCUUUAUGGCAUGGCUUUCUCAUUAUUUCAUGUGUCUUCAUUUUGCUUUCCCAAGCCAGAUUGUAAAUUCCUUGAGAGAGGAGACCCUGAAAACUAGAAAUACCUAUACAGACAGAUAGACAGUAAAAAAAAAAAAAAAAAAAAAAAAAAUUGGACAGAAAGACAUCUGUUGCCUAAGUAAUCCAGAAAAUUUGCCUUAACACGUUCAGAAGACAUAUUUGGCUAUAAUAUACAACUCCUCUCCUUUCCCCCGCCUGCCCUCUGCUGGAACUGCUAAUGAGCAGUAAGAUGGCAAAAGCAGGACAUUGUAUGGGAAAUGUGGGAAAACAGGGGCUAGUCUGACUAGAAGGUGAGUUGAGUAACUGUGAUUUGUGAGUCCACAAUGGGAAUCUUUGAAGUCCUUCAUGAUGUGCCUUUGUAUGACUAGCAACCUCCUCACAAGACUCUAUGGUUCACUGUGCACAAAGAUAUGAUUCUGCCUGCCUGCCUGAGAUAGAUCAAGUGACCUUGUGUGUUCUCUUCCUCCUCUGUGCUUGUUUCAUCUGCAGAACCAUCUGAUGGAUGGCAGACAGCUGAACCAGGUACUGCCCCUUCCCAAACGCAAAUGCCCUCCCCAUUCACCAUUCCCUAGAGCGUUCACUUCCUUCAUCUAUGAAAGGCAAUUACUAGGGUCUAGCAAGACUGCCAAUUUGGUAAUGCAAAGCAGGAGAUAAGUGUGAAACUCUAGACUGGUUUUCUGUUUCAAAGGGCAGCAGGAUGUGACAGCUGCUGAGGCAGCCCUUUGCCCUUGGAGAGGAGAAGCAGGAGUGUGAUCACUAGAUGACCUCUCCCUCCUGCUGUCUCCUGGGUGGUAGGGACAGUCUCUCUCCCAACUCUACUCUUGAUCAGGUGGCUACAUAUUAUGAAAAAGAGGAGGAAAAACAUGUUUUUGCUUUUAAAAUUAUUAUGAAGAGAGAGUACUCUUUGGGGAAGCAGAAUCCAUUAGCUGAAUUCAUUUCAGUAGCUAUGUUUAAUUAAGUUAGGCAGCCUUAAUGCAAUUUUAUUAUGUAGCCUUUAAGAGCUGUUCUGGUAAAUGCCCAUCCUAUAAAUACCAGCACUACUUUAUAUGUGUGAUAUCCUUUUUGGAAGGGCAAAUCUGAAUUAUUAUCCAGAUAUUAAUCUGCACACAACCCUAUCCAGACAAUGCAAAGAUGCUUCCUCAUAUUCUGGACAUUGUUCAAUACAUUCAGAAGGGGGAAAAAACUGCUCAGAUAUGACCUUCUACAUUUUAAGUCAGUGGAUAAGCCAGCCUGGUUGCAUCCCAAAACAUACUUCUGAACAUCAGUUUCACCUUACUACUGACCAAGUAAUUGAUUUCUGCAUUUCAUUAUGUAAAUUAAACACUAGACUUUGAAUUACUAGAAAUACACAGUUAGCCAAUAAACCUUUCUUAUAAAAUGACAGUAUUUUAAUUUAUUAGAUGCGUUGGCAUGUAUUCAUGCCUAAGAUUUCAUCAAUCAAUUUUCCAUUUUAAAAAGCUGUCUCUGGAAGCAACAGUGGAGAGAUGCUGAGUUCCAAAAGCAAUGUUGUGAAAGGCAGCAGGUCUAGCGUUCCAGGCACAUGCUUAACUAAAUUCUAGUCAAUAACCAUGUGGCUCCAAGUAUAAGCCCACAUUUUUUAAAGUAUCUACCUUCUGAACUGACUCUUUUGGAAUGUCAGAAUUUUAAAAAGAAAAUAUUUAAAUUUCUCUAUUUAAGAGGUGUGCAAUGUUUGUUCAAUAUUGGAGCAACCUCUGAUAUUAUUUUAAAAUAUUUAUUUUGCCACUUUGACAGCCUUCUACACUGCCCUUGGGUUUUAAUUUUGUUUACAGUACUAAACUUCAAUAGUUGGCUUCAGAUUAAAUGAAUAUUAGUA
Molecule: long non-coding RNA, 2754 nt
Filed under: Pan troglodytes (chimpanzee)
Lineage: Eukaryota; Metazoa; Chordata; Mammalia; Primates; Hominidae
Description: lincRNA
Source: RNAcentral